UUGGGCGUAAGGGCUCGCAGGCGGUUUCUUAAGUCUGAUGUGAAAGCCCCCGGCUCAACCGGGGAGGGUCAUUGGAAACUGGGGAACUUGAGUGCAGAAGAGGAGAGUGGAAUUCCACGUGUAGCGGUGAAAUGCGUAGAGAUGUGGAGGAACACCAGUGGCGAAGGCGACUCUCUGGUCUGUAACUGACGCUGAGGAGCGAAAGCGUGGGGAGCGAACAGGAUUAGAUACCCUGGUAGUCCACGCCGUAAACGAUGAGUGCUAAGUGUUAGGGGGUUUCCGCCCCUUAGUGCUGCAGCUAACGCAUUAAGCACUCCGCCUGGGGAGUACGGUCGCAAGACUGAAACUCAAAGGAAUUGACGGGGGCCCGCACAAGCGGUGGAGCAUGUGGUUUAAUUCGAAGCAACGCGAAGAACCUUACCAGGUCUUGACAUCCUCUGACAAUCCUAGAGAUAGGACGUCCCCUUCGGGGGCAGAGUGACAGGUGGUGCAUGGUUGUCGUCAGCUCGUGUCGUGAGAUGUUGGGUUAAGUCCCGCAACGAGCGCAACCCUUGAUCUUAGUUGCCAGCAUUCAGUUGGGCACUCUAAGGUGACUGCCGGUGACAAACCGGAGGAAGGUGGGGAUGACGUCAAAUCAUCAUGCCCCUUAUGACCUGGGCUACACACGUGCUACAAUGGACAGAACAAAGGGCAGCGAAACCGCGAGGUUAAGCAAUCCCACAAAUCUGUUCUCAGUUCGGAUCGCAGUCUGCAACUCGACUGC
Molecule: ribosomal RNA, 763 nt
Filed under: Bacillus subtilis
Lineage: Bacteria; Bacillati; Bacillota; Bacilli; Caryophanales; Bacillaceae
Description: bacterial SSU rRNA
Rfam family: Bacterial small subunit ribosomal RNA
Source: RNAcentral